UACGUACUCCCUUCCGUCCCAAAAUUCUUGUCUUAGAUUUGUCUAGAUACGGAUGUAUCUAAUACUAAAACGUGACUUGAUACAUCCGUAUUUGGACAAAUGUAAGACAAGAAUUCUGGGACGGAGGGAGUAUCAA
Non-coding RNA from Triticum aestivum (bread wheat), 136 nucleotides. NCBI's taxonomy places the organism in Eukaryota, Viridiplantae, Streptophyta, Magnoliopsida, Poales, Poaceae. The record is from Rfam.